This is an unclassified non-coding RNA of Pongo abelii (Sumatran orangutan), 148 nucleotides long. It matches the Rfam family "Metazoan signal recognition particle RNA". Rfam says of the family: The signal recognition particle (SRP) is a universally conserved ribonucleoprotein. It is involved in the co-translational targeting of proteins to membranes. Lineage: Eukaryota; Metazoa; Chordata; Mammalia; Primates; Hominidae. The record is from Ensembl.
GCCAGGCGUGGUGGCACACGCCUGUAAUCCCAGCUACUCGGGAGGCUGAGGCAGGAGAAUUGUUUGAACCUGGGAGGCUGAGGUUGCAGUGAGCCGAGGUUGCACCACUGCACUCCAGCCUGGGUGACAGAGUGAGACUCUGUCUCAA